Molecule: ribosomal RNA, 490 nt
Filed under: uncultured bacterium
Lineage: Bacteria
Description: partial 16S ribosomal RNA
Rfam family: Bacterial small subunit ribosomal RNA
Source: RNAcentral
AUUGAACGCUGGCGGCGGGCCUAACACAUGCAAGUCGAACGGUAACAGGAAGCAGCUUGCUGCUUUGCUGACGAGUGGCGGACGGGUGAGUAAUGUCUGGGAAACUGCCCGAUGGAGGGGGAUAACUACUGGAAACGGUAGCUAAUACCGCAUAACGUCGCAAGACCAAAGAGGGGGACCUUAGGGCCUCUUGCCAUCGGAUGUGCCCAGAUGGGAUUAGCUAGUAGGUGGGGUAACGGCUCACCUAGGCGACGAUCCCUAGCUGGUCUGAGAGGAUGACCAGCCACACUGGAACUGAGACACGGUCCAGACUCCUACGGGAGGCAGCAGUGGGGAAUAUUGCACAAUGGGCGCAAGCCUGAUGCAGCCAUGCCGCGUGUAUGAAGAAGGCCUUCGGGUUGUAAAGUACUUUCAGCGGGGAGGAAGGGAGUAAAGUUAAUACCUUUGCUCAUUGACGUUACCCGCAGAAGAAGCACCGGCUAACUCCGUG